AACGCGAAGAACCUUACCUGGGCUUGAACUGCUACUGACCAGCGGUGGAAACAUCGCCUUCUCGCAAGAGACAGUAGUAGAGGUGCUGCAUGGCUGUCGUCAGCUCGUGCCGUGAGGUGUUGGGUUAAGUCCCGCAACGAGCGCAACCCUUACUCUUAGUUGCCACCCGCAAGGGGGAACUCUAAGAGGACUGCUCCGGAUAACGGAGAGGAAGGUGGGGAUGACGUCAAGUCAGCAUGGCCUUUAUGUCCAGGGCUACACACGUGUUACAAUGCAUGGUACAGACUGUUGCGAACCCGCGAGGGGGAGCUAAUCGGAAAAAACCAUGCUCAGUUCGGACUGCAGUCUGCAACUCGACUGCACGAAGCCGGAAUCGCUAGUAAUGCCGUAUCAGAACGACGGCGUGAAUACGUUCCCGGGCCUUGUACACACCGCUCGCGA
This 441-nucleotide ribosomal RNA is filed under the name uncultured bacterium. RNAcentral's name for it is "bacterial SSU rRNA". It matches the Rfam family "Bacterial small subunit ribosomal RNA", at positions 958 to 1399 of the family's 1533-position model. The record is from RNAcentral.